GCAAAUACAAACUGAAAAUCUAGAGCCAAAUGUAUGGCUUAGUUACUCCCUCCCAAGUUCCAACAUUAUCCUAAUCUAGAGCCAAAGCAUAUGAUUUUGUAUAGCUGCAGACCAAAGCUUCAAGCAUGAUUAAAAAUCAAGAGCAACGUGAUAAGGUGGGAAUUAAGUAGGACAACCGACAAGUCUGGCUAACAAAGAUGACGAUGACACAUUACCAGCAAACAAAAUAUGUAAACUUCUGGUUGUGUGUCCAUUCUUUAGAUUUUCAUCAUCUAAUAGCAAAAUAAACAUCAAAGACGUGUGAAUGAAGAUUGUAGGGAGUAAACAAGGUCAUGUUACCCACAACAGUUACAAGCAAU
This 359-nucleotide ribosomal RNA is filed under the name Triticum aestivum (bread wheat). RNAcentral describes it as "partial small subunit ribosomal RNA". Lineage: Eukaryota; Viridiplantae; Streptophyta; Magnoliopsida; Poales; Poaceae. The record is from RNAcentral.